Molecule: ribosomal RNA, 2493 nt
Filed under: Triticum aestivum (bread wheat)
Lineage: Eukaryota; Viridiplantae; Streptophyta; Magnoliopsida; Poales; Poaceae
Description: partial small subunit ribosomal RNA
Source: RNAcentral
UACACCACAGAUCUGUCACACGUCUGUCGUUCCGUCUCUCGUGUAAAAGAUGUGGGUAGGUAUACGUAAGGGUAAAGUCGGCUAUCCCGAUGGUCUUAAGAGUAGUAGUGGUGUCGAGUUUUUUCAAGAGGACUCGCUCGAUGGUAAGUCGCGAGUCCGUGGGUUUCAUGGAAUGGGUUCCUAUGCUCUCAGUACGAAGAGUUCGGAAUGGUGAACCAGCGAGGCGAUCAGGACGAGGAGUACCGGCGGCCGUCGUCGCCGCCGUCGCUACUACCAGCCGUCAAGCGAGAGUUGCCGAAGCGCCCGCGCUUGGACUGCGAGCCGCCGCGUUCGUGCCAGUACGGCUUGCCGGACGAGUACGACUUGUUGCCGCGGUGGUCUUUCUACUUCCCGGUACGGAAGGUAGGCAGGGGCGACGGCAAGCCGCGGCCCAGUUUGCCGUGGCCGGGGCACGCCAGGAAGAGCUGGUGGAAGCAGAAGCGGUAGAAGCCGGUGCCGGUCGUGCGGCUGGAAUCGCAGGCGCCAGACCAGAAAAAGCAGAGACGCAGGACCCUCCACGAGAGGUGACGCAACCGUCCGGUCAGGAACCCGGAGUUGUUACCGUUGGUCUCGCGGUCGUAGAAGCGGCACCUCAAGCUGUGCUAGAUAUUACGGCUCAAGGCUCUGUAGUUGUCCAUGCAGCCGCAACUGCCACUAUCGGAUCACAGGGAGUCAAGGCGGUUGUGGCCCAUGAUACUACUGCUGUGGCCCGCCAAUGAUUUGGAUAGACACUAUUCGACCUUUCGGUAGGUUCACACCCACCUGAUGCUGUCGUCCCGUUUCUAAAAGUGAUACUGGUACCGAGGCGACCCGUACCAGUCCGGGUUCUCCGGGUACAACGUCUGGUGGUAACUGGAGAGACCGCACCACGUCUCGUACCGCAUGCAGCCGAAAAGUAGCCGCUACGUGUUAUAGUGGAGGCCUGUGAAGUAGGAGCCGACCUCGAAGCGCGACCUGCCCGGCCGGGGCCAAGACCUGUAGAGCCACGACGGCUGGAACGGUAGCCGGACCUGGUUCUUGUUGGUCAGGUAGAGUGUUGGUAGGUACAGGUACAGCGACUUCGAGCCCGACCGGAAUCGUAGCCACUGCGACCAAAACCAACCGUAGCCUUAGAUGUAGAGAAGUUCUGCUGCAGAGUUAACGAGGCUCCACGUUCUCCUGACCCUCCCACACGAAGCGUUCGGACUGCACCUCCAACGUCACUUCUCUUACAGUGUACUAAGUUCCGUUCCCCAAUUCCUCAAGUAGCGGCUCCACCACUCGUAACCAGCAGAAGCUGUGGCUUUAUAGCGUGUCAACAACCCGAUGAGGUCCGCAUUCCCACUUGAAGAGAACCAAAUACUGAUGUACUUUUUACCAUCAGAACUGUUCAUGGAUGUGUGUUCUUUACCGGGUUGAGAUACAACCAGGGUCUCCAUAAGUUAGUAGUUUCCACACCGUAGUUCGAAUAACAUAGAUGUACUCCUUACCCUCGUCCAGUAGUAGGUGGCUCUAUAUUUCCGUUCAUUACACGAGAACCUGUGGUUCUACUUACCUGCCAACCCACUAAAACCAGAACGUUCCUAUAUACUGGUGCUUUGACGGCGACUUUGGUGGGUACACCGACCGUGGGACCCUAUAGAACGUGGUUUUGAGGGCGCGCGGCCCUCCGAUUGUGGAAAGAGACUACAUAUACGUAAACCGCAUAAAGAGGAUCUCCAGUGUACACCUGCUUCCGGUUAGAAGUAGCUACUCGUUUUGUUGGCCCAUAACAACCAGCUUACCCAGGAACUCGUGGUGGUGUUACCUAGUUACGGGCUGUGCCACCUAGGUGCUGAGCCUCCCCUUAAGUUGUGCCUCCUCCAUUGGUAGCACGAGUUUGAUCCAAAUGAUACGUGCAUGGGUAGUGGGUGACGUGCCGGAUAGUACGCUUUCCAGUACGUCAUGGAGCUUGUACCAGUUAGCGAAGGACUAAAUAGAGGCCGGAUGUAUUCGAUGCAUUACUACCGGGUUUACGUUUUACUUCCUAAACUAAGUGUGUUGUUCGGUACAAGAGUCGGGCGUUACUCACAGCGGUGACAUAGCCAUGUUCACCAAUUCUUUCUAAAGUACGUAUCGAAACUUCACAUGGAAGUGACCAGCUAGUCAAGUUUGCCGGCUGAACUCAGUUACCGAUGAUGAUGCACGGUCCGCACGUGCGCGGCAACACACAGGAAACUAAACUCGUAGCUAGCUCGUGGAUACCCCUAACCCCUUAAGUACCUCGUCGGCCGAGCCGUCUCACGACGAGUCGAAAGCUGCGAUGACAGUUCUAAGUUCCAGUGGUGUCUGUCGUUGCUCAGGUCGGUGUGGCUCGACGGACUCCGGCAGUACCGGCCGGAGCACCCGGAGGAAGCAGUCGAGUGUACACAAACCAAUAGGCCGUUCGCGAACGAAACGGACCGGUUCGUUCCCUCGCUACUUAAACCAAAUACU